This 497-nucleotide ribosomal RNA is filed under the name uncultured bacterium. Its description in RNAcentral is "partial 16S ribosomal RNA". It matches the Rfam family "Bacterial small subunit ribosomal RNA", at positions 28 to 507 of the family's 1533-position model. The record is from RNAcentral.
GAUGAACGCUGGCGGCGUGCCUAAUACAUGCAAGUCGAGCGAACAGACGAGGAGCUUGCUCCUCUGACGUUAGCGGCGGACGGGUGAGUAACACGUGGAUAACCUACCUAUAAGACUGGGAUAACUUCGGGAAACCGGAGCUAAUACCGGAUAAUAUAUUGAACCGCAUGGUUCAAUAGUGAAAGACGGUUUUGCUAUCACUUAUAGAUGGAUCCGCGCCGCAUUAGCUAGUUGGUAAGGUAACGGCUUACCAAGGCAACGAUGCGUAGCCGACCUGCGAGGGUGAUCGGCCACACUGAAACUGAGACACGGUACAGACUCCUACGGGAGGCAGCAGUAGGGAAUCUUCCGCAAUGGGCGAAAGCCUGACGGAGCAACGCCGCGUGAGUGAUGAAGGUCUUCGGAUCGUAAAACUCUGUUAUUAGGGAAGAACAAAUGUGUAAGUAACUAUGCACGUCUUGACGGUACCUAAUCAGAAAGCCACGGCUAACUACGUG